UACGUAGGGCGCAAGCGUUGUCCGGAAUUAUUGGGCGUAAAGAGCUCGUAGGCGGCCUGUUGCGUCCGCUGUGAAAUCUCGGGGCUCAACCCCGAGCGGUCGUGGGAAACUGGUUGGCUAGAGUGCGGGAGAGGAGAGUGGAAUUCCUGGUGUAGCGGUGAAAUGCGCAGAUAUCAGGAAGAACACCCGUGGCGAAGGCGGCUCUCUGGAACGCAACUGACGCUGAGACGCGAAAGCGUGGGGAGCAAACAGG
Molecule: ribosomal RNA, 253 nt
Filed under: uncultured bacterium
Lineage: Bacteria
Description: partial 16S ribosomal RNA
Rfam family: Bacterial small subunit ribosomal RNA
Source: RNAcentral